AUUGAACGCUGGCGGCAGGCCUAACACAUGCAAGUCGAACGGUAACAGGAAGAAGCUUGCUUCUUUGCUGACGAGUGGCGGACGGGUGAGUAAUGUCUGGGAAACUGCUUGAUGGCGGGGGAUAACUACUGGAAACGGUAGCUAAUACCGCAUAACGUCGCAAGACCAAAGAGGGGGACCUUCAGGCCUCUUGCCAUCGGCUGUGCCCAGAUGGGAUUAGCUAGUAGGUGGGGUAACGGCUCACCUAGGCGACGAUCCCUAGCUGGUCUGAGAGGAUGACCAGCCACACUGGAACUGAGACACGGUCCAGACUCCUACGGGAGGCAGCAGUGGGGAAUAUUGCACAAUGGGCGCAAGCCUGAUGCAGCCAUGCCGCGUGUAUGAAGAAGGCCUUCGGGUUGUAAAGUACUUUCAGCGGGGAGGAAGGGAGUAAAGUUAAUACCUGUGCUCAUUGACGUUACCCGCAGAAGAAGCACCGGCUAACUCCGUG
RNAcentral lists this ribosomal RNA (490 nucleotides) under uncultured bacterium. RNAcentral describes it as "partial 16S ribosomal RNA". It matches the Rfam family "Bacterial small subunit ribosomal RNA", at positions 30 to 507 of the family's 1533-position model. The record is from RNAcentral.